This 429-nucleotide ribosomal RNA is filed under the name Acidobacteriota bacterium. RNAcentral describes it as "Acidobacteria bacterium partial 16S ribosomal RNA". It matches the Rfam family "Bacterial small subunit ribosomal RNA", at positions 355 to 776 of the family's 1533-position model. The record is from RNAcentral. Lineage: Bacteria; Pseudomonadati; Acidobacteriota.
UAGGGAAUCUUCCGCAAUGGGCGAAAGCCUGACGGAGCAACGCCGCGUGAGUGAUGAAGGUCUUCGGAUCGUAAAACUCUGUUAUUAGGGAAGAACAAAUGUGUAAGUAACUAUGCACGUCUUGACGGUACCUAAUCAGAAAGCCACGGCUAACUACGUGCCAGCAGCCGCGGUAAUACGUAGGUGGCAAGCGUUAUCCGGAAUUAUUGGGCGUAAAGCGCGCGUAGGCGGUUUUUUAAGUCUGAUGUGAAAGCCCACGGCUCAACCGUGGAGGGUCAUUGGAAACUGGAAAACUUGAGUGCAGAAGAGGAAAGUGGAAUUCCAUGUGUAGCGGUGACAUGCGCAGAGAUAUGGAGGAACACCAGUGGCGAAGGCGACUUUCUAGUCUGUAACUGACGCUGCUGUGCGAAAGCGUGGGGAUCAAACAGG